Molecule: ribosomal RNA, 254 nt
Filed under: uncultured bacterium
Lineage: Bacteria
Description: partial 16S ribosomal RNA
Rfam family: Bacterial small subunit ribosomal RNA
Source: RNAcentral
UACGUAGGGUGCAAGCGUUGUCCGGAUUUAUUGGGCGUAAAGAGCUCGUAGGCGGUUUUGAAAGUCAGGUGUGAAACCUCCAGGCUCAACCUGGAGACGCCACUUGAGACUUCAAUGACUGGAGUUCGGUAGGGGUAAGCGGAAUUCCUGGUGUAGCGGUGAAAUGCACAGAUAUCAGGAGGAACACCGAUGGCGAAGGCAGCUUACUGGGCCGAUACUGACGCUGAGGAGCGAAAGCGUGGGGAGCGAACAGG